ACUCAAUGCUAAUUUUCCUAAAAAAAUAAAACCAAACCAAAUAGGUUAGAUUUUAAAAAAAUAAAAAACCAAACUAAAUCAACUUACCCAAAAAAAAUAAAAAUAAUUUUUUAAAUUAAAUCAAUUCAAUCGAUUUUUUUUUUAAUUUGAAUCAAUUUCUACUCACUCCAAAUUAAAGCUUGCACUGAAAGACCCUUCAAUCCGAUUUUGAUUCCCUUGACCUUAAAAUUGAAAUCAUUGAUUCCGACUUGAAACCAAACCGUAACCAGCCAAACAAUGGGGUCACACAAGCAAAAUCAUCUAGGUACCAAAUCACAAGGAAAAUAUUUUCUUCCCUUCGUCCUUAAAUCUUGGCAUAAAGCAUCCGCUUAGACCAGACCAAGAAAACCAGAAAAUAGACCUUUAUAUUGUGCACAAAAUGCUAACUAUAGCAUGCACCAGAUGAGCACAUUACUUUUCCAGCAUUGUUUAGACCACAGGGCCAAAAAGCAAUAUGAACACUCCACAAUCUGACAAAUAUGAACGAAUACAAAGAUAAAAAUGAAUGUUAGAAAGACAGUUUAAAGGAAUCAAAAUGGGAAAACAAGUCCUGCAAUACAUCAAGAAUUAAGAGAGUAAUAAAGGAAAUGGAAAAACCCUGUGGCUAAAGAAUCCACUUUAAGCUUUCCCAUUAAAGUGAAUUUGGGAAAGUUUCAUUAAAGUAAAUUGGGAAUAAUAAAUUCAGUGAGCCACACAAUUUUAGACCAGUAAUAAUUCAGAAAAAGCAACAAAACUGAAGAAUAUACUCAGCUUGAUUACGUUUCUCAGGAAUCUCUCUUUCUGCGAUGUAGUCAUGUCCUUAGAAAUAACACUUCUUUCUAAAAUUUGCUUUGUUCACAUGGUGACAUGGUAGACUAUAGAACUUAAAUUGAUUUACGCUAUAGUUUAGCUGGCACAAGGAACAUGAUACCAGUCCCAGAUUCCAUUAGUACAAUCAAUUUAAGAGAUUCUCUAACAAGUUGGUACUCAGAACUGUAUUUUCCCUUCACUUUCAUGCAGCAAUGACGAUGGUAUGUCUCCCACUUGGAAACUUCUUUCAAAGACACUUUUUUUUUCUUUACCAAAAAAGGAAAAAAGAAAACUACUUUUUGACCGACUGCUCAAGAAAAUGACACAUAAUGGCAGCCAAUUAACUUUUAUGACCUCCGUUGUCUACAAAAACAUGCUCAGACAGUUUCUUUCUGCUUUCUGAGAAAUGUGUUCAGCCAGUCAUCAACUCUAAGAAAUAAGUGGAAGGUGCCUAGUAGUGUGAUUUUGGGACCAUAGUUACUUUCACAUUUAUAUAAUCUCACCCAAAAAAUGACUAUUUAAAAAAAUAAGAUUCUUCACAAAAAUUUGAAGAGCUGGAGUUAGCCAGACAAAUAUAUCUCAAGGCUAAGACUAAUUUUCAUUCAUCAGAAAAGGAGCACAAUAGAAUUUACCCAUGCUAAGAUGGUUUUUCUCAGCAAAAUCAUGUUAUAAUUGGGACAAAAAGACCAGAUCCACUAUUUUGAGGGACACCAAACCUAUAUUACAAACAAACUCAACAGUAAGGAAGCAAUAUAAUAAUUUAUCUGUACAAAACCACAUAAAAAGAACCAUUAUCUCCAUCAUAAUACAAUCUCUGAGAACUAGCUAUAAAAACUCUACCAACAAAUUCUUCUCAUGCAACUGCUUCAGAGAAGGGUCUAUAAGAUUGAUAUUCGAAAGAAAAAUUGGCCACUCAAAAUAGUUAACUCAGGGAUUAAAAAUGAAACACCCAUCAAAGUCAAAGAAAAUUAUUAGAGGUUCUCAAAAAUUAAGCAUAAAGUAAAUAAUCAUGAUUUUCAAUCAUUGACAGUAACUAAAACUGAAAAAAGAAAAUGAAAAACUUAAAACUGAAAAUUGAACGUGCUUCCUGACACAUAUGCUAAAAUAUGGGUUCUCUCAAGCACUAUGAACCACUCAAAACAAUUUGCAACGUUCACAAAACUAACCGCAAAGAAUGACUACAGAGAAAACCUUAAAAAUUCUUUUGCCCAAAAAUUAUAUAAUACACAAAGUUGUGUGAGCAAAACUUGAAACAAUUGCGAUCAACUAAGCAUAAAAUUCACAACUACACACAUUAAUUAAAUUACAAGUUAAAAAUCCAAGGCAUGCUACUUGCAUUUAACAAACAUGCAAUAAAUGAGUAUCAACAGUUCAUUCAGAUCAUAUCAGCAGUUGUCCAAGAUUGAUUCCUUCCAUAUCAUCAUGUCCUCAUUCCUCAAUAACAUAUCAUGCCACAGAUGAUACUUAGCAUAAUUGAAUAGUAAACCAACGAAGACAAAUUAGCACAUAUAAUGAAUCCUAUAAAGCUUAAUCUACAAGACCAGAGGCACCACUAAGCUCAACGCCCAAAAGUAUAUAAUCAAAAUCAAGCCCAUCACCAAUUACUUGAAGACUAGUACAACAGUGUAAGAAAUUAAUGGAUAAUACGAAAAAGAAGGCUACCAGUAUGAGCACACAGCUGGACAGGGGUGCAUUUGCUUUUCUGCAACGAACUUCAAUUAGAGCAUCAAAGAAAAAAAAUAAUAUUAACUAUAACCAAGAGUCUAGGAAAUCUACAAAAAAAUAAAAAAGUUUAUUUUCUAAUAAUUUCUCGGAAAUCAAACAGAAAACAGAAAAAGAAAAAGGGGAGAGGGUAAGCGCUGGAUGCAGAGGUUUAUCGAUCGAUUCAUGUGUUUGUGCUAAUUUCACAACAAAAUCCACCAGGAAGAGAUCGAUGAACCGCUGCCUCCAGUGACUUCAUCCCCCAACCAAAAACCAAAAAACAAACAGAAAUAGAAACAUCACAAAAAAAAAAAG
Molecule: unclassified non-coding RNA, 2844 nt
Filed under: Hevea brasiliensis (rubber tree)
Lineage: Eukaryota; Viridiplantae; Streptophyta; Magnoliopsida; Malpighiales; Euphorbiaceae
Rfam family: MIR162_1 microRNA precursor family (bases 2686-2780)
Source: RNAcentral